RNAcentral lists this long non-coding RNA (426 nucleotides) under Rattus norvegicus (Norway rat). RNAcentral describes it as "long non-coding RNA NONRATT012807". The record is from RNAcentral. Lineage: Eukaryota; Metazoa; Chordata; Mammalia; Rodentia; Muridae.
GUCUGAAUUUUCCUCAGAAAAACGUCCUUGGCUCACAGUCUCAAACAGCUCAGCCAGAGAAGAGAGAUCACUGCCACAGUCUGCCACCCCUGGCUCUGCCCAGAUACAGGGACAAAUAGCACAAGCUGGGGUGUACAAUAGGCCUUGCCUGCAUAGACUGAAGUACUUCCUACGGCCUCCAGUACAUCAUCUCUUCUUCCAGACGUUAAUACCGGAUAAAGACACACGAGAGGUAAGCUAGCACACUCGCCCCCUUGGGGACUGAGUCUUCAAUGACGUUACAGUGACUAGAGUAACGGGCCAAAGAUAAACAAUUUUUUUUUAUCUUUUCCCAACUUGAUGGGGGGAACUAGAACUGUAUUCAGAUCUCGGCCCACACCUAAAACCCUGUACAACCAGGGCACUAAAUGAGGUGAUGUGUAUGAA